Molecule: long non-coding RNA, 1893 nt
Filed under: Macaca fascicularis (crab-eating macaque)
Lineage: Eukaryota; Metazoa; Chordata; Mammalia; Primates; Cercopithecidae
Description: lncRNA (ENSMFAG00000036780.2)
Source: RNAcentral
GUGGGAACGUGCACCCGGAGCUUGGGGUGCAGAUCCCGGUGGGUGCCCUCCUCCCCCACCCCCAGCCGGUGCUCAGGUGGCCCAGGGGCCGCACAGAUGAGGCGUGGUCCAGGCAUUGUUGCACAUGUACUGAGGGUGUUUUUAAGUGAAUUGCUUAGUAGGCUUCUAGGAAGAGUCGGAUUUAUAGCAUUUUCAACCAAAAUAAUGCUGAGUGCCUAGGCUUCCCGAGUUAGCUCUGGGGGUGGCCCCUGAGCCCCUGUGAGUGCACCUGACCGGGUGCGGAGGUCCUGGGCAGCCUCUGCCUGAGCUGGCCCCUCCCAGGGAUCUGAGAUCCGUGAGGUGUGUCCCGAGGGCUUCAGUCCUGGGGCAGGGGCAUAAACAGAACCAGUUGCUAUGGAGGUGGAGGAUUCACGUGGGGGCCCUUCGGCUUGGUCUGCUUGGCCACAGAACAGCCCCCGGCCCCCAUGCAGCCCCUGGGCUGGCCCUCGGUGGUCUCUGUCCAAGGGAGAGCCUCUGGGUGUUUAGGAGGCUGCCCGGGUGGGCUGGUCAGGGCAGCUGCCAAAGGUGGAGCCCAGAGCCUGUCUGGAAGGGCUGUCCAUGACUGUCCCCAGACCUGGCCUUGGACUCAAGGAAGACCAGGCUGAGGCCCCUCCAGGCCAGGGCCCUGGGGCAGACAUCUCAGGGAGCAGCCAGCCCAGGGCUCCUGCCGUCUCCAGCAGGGUAUGUCCCAGGAGGACCCUGAGGGCCAGAGGCCCCUGGAUGCUCCUCCUGAUUCUGUCGGCAGCUGAAGGCCCGUCUGAGGCCCCGCAAUGCGAGGGUCCCGUGUCCCACUUCACUGCUCCGAAGGAAACUGGCUGGCUGUCCGUCCAGCGAGCGGCCCAGACCCCACCUCUGUGCCGUUGUCACCAGGGCCCUGUCCUGGCUGCCCCCACCCAUGUCAAGCUACUGAGGCUGUGUCUUGUUUGUUUUCUCUGUUACGUUUUUGUUUGCUGUUUGCUGUUGUCACAGUCAGCUGGUUUCGGCGUGAUGUUGACCUUUUGAUGUACAUACUCCGUUUUAAACUCAUUUCCACUCCAGUUGAGUUCUGCAGCGUGCAGCGGUAUGACCUUACGGGGUUCAGGAGGGCCCCGUAGCCCCCACCCCACCAGCUCAGAACCUGUCGCUAAUACAGCUGCCUGUGACCCUGGGACCCGCAACCUUCCAGCUGCUUCCCUUUGUCAAAGUCAUGAGUGGGUCUGCCUUGGCAGCCCUCGCUGAACAGAACUUCCAUUGGUUUGUGGGUUCAUUUCCUUUCUUUUUAAGAACAAGGUUGGGACCUUUUCUGCUCCUGCCCUUCCGCUAUUGAGGCAUUGGGAGAGGAAGUUAAUUUCAGAGCCAUACAAAAAUAAGCCACAACCAGCUUCAGAAUUAAUUCCCAAUCCCCCAUUCCAGCAGGGCUGGGAGCCCAUUCCCAGUGCUUCCCAAGGCCCUCGGGGACGUCUGCCGCCAACCCAGCUGCUUCUGGCAGGGGUUCCAAGCCCCAGCAUGGGGAAGGGCCCUGGAGAAGCCCCCAUCCGCACGGGAACCACACUGCAGUGGGCCGGGCAGGUCGUCAGCACUGCCCCCGGCUCCUCCGGGUCCUGCUGGCUCCUCCGGGGCAGGGUUCCCUGGACCUCCCAGUUCUGCACUUGGGGCCAGCCAGUCCUCAGAGAGGAAGACCUUCUCAACCACAUACAGAACACAGGUUUUCAUGGCUGCCUUUGGUUUGGUUUUCUGAGAAGAUAGGAUUGGACUGGAUUUUGCAGAGGGCGAGAACUUCUCUGUGCCUGCUCAGAGGCGCCCUGGGGAAGGGCCGUGUUUGAGUUUUGCUUUGUAUGUUGUUUUGCAAGUAUCUGCCUGGUACUUUGAUUUAAA